AAUAUUUUAAAAUUUUAUAAAUAUUGAUUCAAAUACAUUCCAAAAUAAAACCCGUUCUGUAAUUUCUUUACCCGUCCCGUGAUUUUUUUUAAAAGUAGUAAUUUUUAAAAUUCAAGAAUUAUUUAUUAUAUAUAAAAAUUUUGCAAAUUGUAUCAUUCUCUAAUAUA
This 167-nucleotide small RNA is filed under the name Arabidopsis thaliana (thale cress). RNAcentral describes it as "ATSL170430". Lineage: Eukaryota; Viridiplantae; Streptophyta; Magnoliopsida; Brassicales; Brassicaceae. The record is from RNAcentral.